This 253-nucleotide ribosomal RNA is filed under the name uncultured bacterium. Its description in RNAcentral is "partial 16S ribosomal RNA". It matches the Rfam family "Bacterial small subunit ribosomal RNA", at positions 524 to 776 of the family's 1533-position model. The record is from RNAcentral.
UACAGAGGGUGCGAGCGUUAAUCGGAAUUAUUGGGCGUAAAGCGCAUGUAGGUGGUUUUUUAAGUUUGAUGUGAAAGCCCUGGGCUUAACCUGGGAAUGGCGUUGAAGACUGGAAGACUUGAGUCGGACAGAGGGCAGUGGAAUUUCUGGUGUAGCGGUGAAAUGCGUAGAGAUCAGAAAGAACAUCGGUGGCGAAGGCGGCUGCCUGGGUCCAGACUGACACUGAGGUGCGAAAGCCAGGGGAGCAAACGGG